AGAGUUUGAUCCUGGCUCAGGAUGAACGCUAGCGGCAGGCUUAACACAUGCAAGUCGAGGGGCAGCGGGGAGGAAGCUUGCUUUCUCCGCCGGCGACCGGCGCACGGGUGAGUAACACGUAUGCAACCUGCCUGCCACAGCCGGAUAAUCGGGAGAAAUUCCGUCUAAUACGGCAUAAUGCACCUAUGGGACAUCCUGUUGGUGCCAAAGGUUGAUUCCGGUGGCGGAUGGGCAUGCGUCGCAUUAGUUAGUUGGCGGUGUAACGGACCACCAAGACGACGAUGCGUAGGGGUUCUGAGAGGAAGGUCCCCCACACUGGUACUGAGACACCGACCAGACUCCUACGGGAGGCAGCAGUGAGGAAUAUUGGUCAAUGGGCGGGAGCCUGAACCAGCCAAGUCGCGUGAGGGAUGACGGCCCUAUGGGUUGUAAACCUCUUUUGCCGGGGAGCAAAGUGCCGCACGUGUGCGGUUUGGAGAGUACCCGGAGAAAAAGCAUCGGCUAACUCCGUGCCAGCAGCCGCGGUAAUACGGAGGAUGCGAGCGUUAUCCGGAUUUAUUGGGUUUAAAGGGUGCGUAGGCGGGCAUUUAAGCCGGCGGUCAAAUGUCGGGGCUCAACCCCGGCCUGCCGUCGGAACUGGGUGCCUUGAGUGGGCGAGAAGUAUGCGGAAUGCGUGGUGUAGCGGUGAAAUGCAUAGAUAUCACGCAGAACCCCGAUUGCGAAGGCAGCAUACCGGCGCCCUACUGACGCUGAGGCACGAAAGUGCGGGUAUCGAACAGGAUUAGAUACCCUGGUAGUCCGCACAGUAAACGAUGGAUGCUAUCUGUCCGGGCUGAAUGAGGCCUGGGUGGCACAGCGAAAGCGUUAAGCAUCCCACCUGGGGAGUACGCCGGCAACGGUGAAACUCAAAGGAAUUGACGGGGGCCCGCACAAGCGGAGGAACAUGUGGUUUAAUUCAAUGAUACGCGAGGAACCUUACCCGGGCUCAAACGCAGGAGGGAUGUUUUUGAAAGGAGGCAGCCAGCAAUGGUCUCCUGCGAGGUGCUGCAUGGUUGUCGUCAGCUCGUGCCGUGAGGUGUCGGCUUAAGUGCCAUAACGAGCGCAACCCCUACCUACAGUUGCCAUCGCGUGAUGGCGGGCACUCUGUGGGGACUGCCUGCGCAAGCAGUGAGGAAGGCGGGGAUGACGUCAAAUCAGCACGGCCCUUACGUCCGGGGCGACACACGUGUUACAAUGGCAGGUACAGCGGGAAGCCACCCGGCGACGGGGCGCGGAACCUGAAAACCUGUUUCAGUUCGGAUCGGAGUCUGCAACCCGACUCCGUGAAGCUGGAUUCGCUAGUAAUCGCGCAUCAGCCAUGGCGCGGUGAAUACGUUCCCGGGCCUUGCACUCACCGCCCGUCA
RNAcentral lists this ribosomal RNA (1403 nucleotides) under uncultured bacterium. RNAcentral's name for it is "16S ribosomal RNA". It matches the Rfam family "Bacterial small subunit ribosomal RNA". The record is from RNAcentral.